This 253-nucleotide ribosomal RNA is filed under the name uncultured bacterium. RNAcentral describes it as "partial 16S ribosomal RNA". It matches the Rfam family "Bacterial small subunit ribosomal RNA", at positions 524 to 776 of the family's 1533-position model. The record is from RNAcentral.
UACGUAGGGUGCAAGCGUUAAUCGGAAUUACUGGGCGUAAAGCGUGCGCAGGCGGUUUUGUAAGACAGAGGUGAAAUCCCCGGGCUCAACCUGGGAACUGCCUUUGUGACUGCAAGGCUUGAGUGCGGCAGAGGGGGAUGGAAUUCCGCGUGUAGCAGUGAAAUGCGUAGAGAUCCGGAAGAACACCGGUGGCGAAGGCGGUUAGCUGGGCAGUUGCUGACACUGAGGCGCGACAGCGUGGGGAGCAAACAGG